UCUAGGUUUUCUCAGGGGUACCACCCAGAGAUGCAUUAGAUAAAUUGUACGCCCCACAAAUCCAAUCGGAAACCUAUUUUCCCGAGGAAGUAGAUAGAUGGAGAGGGGGGAUGCAGCGAAGUAGCAGCAGCUGUCGCAGCAAAGCUGAUUCAGGACAAAACCCUAACCCUAAACCUAAAUGCCAUUUUCAGCAGAGACGAGGUCGAAGCGAAGAGUGAGUUGCCCUGAGGUCAACUGGUUCAACGACCAAGCUCCAUUCAGCCAUGUGGUUUUCAAGAUGCAACUCCAAUCUCUUUCACCUGAAAACGACAUCGUUCCACGCAAAUCCCUAACCAUCACCACAGACCCGUUUUCUCUUCUCUCGGACCAACUCCUCCUCCACAUCCUCUCUAAGCUUCCAUACUCUCACCACACUACUACUUCUUUGGUCUGCAAACGAUGGAUGCAUCUCCAUGGCCGGUUGGUACAGUCCGUGAAACUUGUCGAUUGGGAUUUUCUCGAGUCCGGCCGGCUUAUUUGCCGAUUCCCCAAUCUCACUGAUAUCGACCUUGUUCGCGCUUGUGUUCGGUUGCCGAAUAAUUCUGCAAUUUGGUUAAGCCAUAAAUUUCUUUCCAUCCAACUCGAUUCACGUUUUCUGAGUGGCGGUUUUGUCUCCGGAGAUGAUUUGUUGCCGCCUGAUGUGAUCGAUGAGGGGCUCAGAAUUGUCGCCGAGGGUUGCCCUAAUUUGAGGAAACUUGUUCUGAUUGGUGCGAGCGAGAAAGGGUUGUCGAGCGUGGCUACGGAGUGCUUGACAUUACAGGAAUUGGAGCUUCAUUAUUGUACUGAUUUAUCGCUGAGGGGUAUUUCGGGUUGUCAGAACCUACAAAUCUUGAAAUUGAUUGGUUCUGUUCGUGAGUUAUAUAAUUCUGUAAUUUCGGAUAUUGGGUUAACAAUUUUGGCGCAGGGGUGUAGGAGAUUAGUCAAGCUUGAGUUGUGUGGGUGUGAAGGGAGCUAUGAUGGGAUCAAAGCAAUCGGGCAGUGUUGCCAAAUGCUAGAGGAAUUAACACUAUGUGAUCAUAGGAUGGAUGGUGGGUGGUUGUCAGCGUUGUCAUUUUGUGGGAAUUUGAAGACUUUGAAGCUUCAGUCAUGUAAGAGUAUUGAUGCGAGUCCAGGAUCAGAUCAACAUUUGGGUUCUUGUCCUACACUUGAGACGUUGCACUUGCAGCGGUGCCAAAUGCGGGAUAAACAGAGCACAAGAGCUUUGUUUUUAGUGUGUGAGGCUGUUAGGGAGAUUGUUUUACAGGAUUGUUGGGGAUUGGAGGAUGAAACAUUUGGCAUUGCGACUAUUUGUAGGAGGUUAAAAUCUCUCUCUUUGGAAGGAUGCUCUUUGCUGACUGUGGAAGGUUUAGAUUCAGUGGUUCAUUCUUGGAAGGAACUUCAAAGGCUUAGAGUAGUAUCAUGUAACAAUAUAAAGGAUAGCGAAGUAACUCCUGCACUUGCCACCUUGUUUUCUGUUCUGAAAGAGUUGAAAUGGCGACCAGAUUCCAGAUCUCUUCUGUCAUCAAGCCUGGGAGAGACCGGAAUGGGAAAGAAAGGUGGUAAAUUUUUCAAGAGGGCAUGAGGUUGAACUUGCAGCUUGAUGCCAAGAAUCUGAGCUCCUGUUUAACAACGAUGAUUCUCUUGGCUGCAAAAAGAUUAAGUUGAUCAUGCAACAUCAGUAGAAGUGCAUUUCUGACAAGGAAGAUAGUGUUACUGUUUUGUGUGAGAGAGUACAUUUUGCUGGGCUAGCAAGUCUUGCCCCAGCUACCAACAUAUGAUGCUGUGAAUUUUCAGAGAGAUUUGGAUCUUAUUUUCUAUAGCUGCUCACUCCUUUUAUAAUCUGAUUUUCACUUCUUGAAUUCUUGAUGGCUAUUUGUCCUUUUAGACCACAUGUUGGUGGCGGCAAAAGAGUGAGUUGCAGGUGACAUGAUUCCAUUCUCAUGGGACGCAUACCUGCUAACUAUUAAAACUUGGGGGAAUUUAGAUUAAACUUUUGGCGUUGUUGAAGAGUUUUGAGCUAAUUCAGUGUGAGUCGGGAUACAGGGAGUACCUGACUACCUUUGGUUGCAUUCUGAUUUGGUAUUUAGUUGUAAACUUGUGUUGAAAUUCGAUGGCCUGCACUUAGAGACUCUUUUAUCAGCAGCAGUUCCGUAUCGUCAUUAUUGCUUUCUGUAUUGGGUUUUUGUAGAGGUCCAAGGCUUAGCAGAGCAGAUUGAGCUGUACAACGUGGCUCCAAAUGACAGAGUGAGACAGGAGAAACCCAGCUGACUCCGUGGACGAUUCAGUGCUUAAAUUUACAAGCUACAGAGGUUUUUAUUUUGGUGCCUCUAUAUUAAAUUAUACAUGAGAAACAAGUAAUCAAUGAAAUUAGGGGCAGGGAGGGAGGAGGGGAAAGCUAGAUGGAGACAAGCUGCUGGAUAUUGAACGGAUAAACAUCAGAUUGAGGACCCAUGAAGGACCUUUGCGCCACAAUCCUGUUCAAUGCCUCUGUUGGGUGAAGGCUGUCCCAGAAGACGUACGAGUUUCUGUUAUUGCAUGGUGCCGCACCAGCAAUGCAGCUCCAUUGCACCCUCCCAUUCUCCACACCACAACACCCUUGUGAAGUAACUGAGAAGCCUGCAAGAUGUAUGGCGUUUCGGAAAGGUGAUGAGGUGAUGAAGCUUAGUCAUAAAGAUAGAAAGAUGGAGGAUGGAGGGUAGGUAUUAGUUACCAUAAGGAGAUGGGUUGAUGAGAAUGUCAGAAACCAUGCCAUAAGCAUCAGCAUAAGAAAGGGCAGAGGCAGGGAGGUGCAAGUUGAGAUCGAUGAUGAGAGAUCUGAGAGCAGAGUUGAAGAGCAUGACCAUCUGAUUCACCCUGUCAUUGCAGUUUUGGCCCGUCAGCUGAUUUGGAGUGCAUCCCAGCGGCCCCAGCGCAUACACCAUGAAUCGUCUUAUCCCCAUGUUGUACAACCCCUGAUUUGUGUUUCAAACACCACCACACCAUAUGUGCUAACAUUAUACCUCUAGUCUCUCCUUUUCAAUUUCACAGACAAUCAUGUAGCACAAAAUACUGUAAUAAAGUUUUGGAGAAUAAUUUUAAAAAACAA
Molecule: RNA transcript, 3103 nt
Organism: Vitis vinifera (wine grape)
Lineage: Eukaryota; Viridiplantae; Streptophyta; Magnoliopsida; Vitales; Vitaceae
Gene name: F-box protein At5g51380
Exons: 3
Source: RefSeq, a predicted model, not a curated record